UCCACGUCCUUUCUCCCUAACUCCCCUCCUUCUCCAUCGCUCCCUCCUGUAUCUCCCGCCAGUGCCCACCCCUGCUGCAUGCCGCUCAUUCCCACUUCGCGCCCGGGCACUAGGCAGUGAGGUCACCUAUGAGGUUGUGGGCCUGUGAAAGGAUCCUGGUACCCCAAUCACAGCUGGAAGGCUCUCAGAUCUUAGUUUGGCCAAAGGCACCUGGAGACCAAAGCAGGUAGCUGGUGGAGUGCCUCUGGGUUCUGCCUCAGUGGGUCCUGGAUAGUGUUGAGAAGCCGUCUGGUGAGUGAGUUUCCAGGUCAGUAGGAACUCACUUCUGACCUGGCAUAGUCCUUGUGGGUACUUGGAAACCAUGCCCCAGGACUGGCUCCUUAGAGAAUUCUGGAAGUGGGCCAAGGAAGAUCUCAAGAUCUCCCUCUCCUCCGUGCUUUGAGAGGCCACAAAAGCUGCGACCAAUGCCCUCCCAGAUGCAGAAGGAGUCGCCGGCCUCAUUAUAUGCAUGUACCACUACUGCUGUUUGAAACUCCAAUACUGCUGAACAAUUCAGAAAUAGAUCCAUUAUGGGUCUGCUUUCGCCCCAGGGCCUUAACACAGGUCACCAGAAAAUCCAAGAUUUCACAGUCAGUCCAACUCUGAAGAGGGAAAGAAAAAAUUCUCUGCAGCACUUCCGCCCCUACCCCCACCCCAGCCUACCGGGAGCCCCUCUUCGCUUUUUUUCUGCUGCUUUGGAAUAAAUAGGUCUUUAAUUGAACUUGAAAUCUAAAUUCUCUUCAGCUAUUAAUUGA
This is a long non-coding RNA of Onychomys torridus (southern grasshopper mouse), 794 nucleotides long. RefSeq lists it as uncharacterized. The record is from RefSeq and is a predicted model, not a curated record. The transcript has 4 exons. NCBI's taxonomy places the organism in Eukaryota, Metazoa, Chordata, Mammalia, Rodentia, Cricetidae.